AUCUCCCCAAUCCCUAUCAUUCACAUUAAUAAUAAACCAUGCACGAUCAGGCGUGUAUCCCAAAAGAAAAAAAAAGCACUAAUCCAAUUAAAUUCCUCGAACUAAAACAAUGUAAAAUGUAAAAUCAAAUUUACAAAGAGGACAGGGUAUCGGAUUAUGUUUGCGUUAUUAUAUACUAGCACUCCUUAUAUACCUAAUUUUCAAUUCGUUUAAAUCAAGACACAUAAUUUUUUGGUCUGAUAACUUUUCUGUAGCCCUAUUAUAUAGUGUGCCUGCCUUUUAUAAAUAUAAUCCAAUAACGAGGAUGAUUACAAAUAGUCUAUAUGAUUAUAUAUAGCAUAUCUACGUUCUUCCGGCACUCAAAUAUAUUUCCAUUUGCAUUUAUAAUUUAUUUGACAUAAUUUAUGGGUGAUGCAUUUAUUUCAAAUUAUCAACACAUCUUCUCAAACCUAAUUCUUGGGCAAAUCAACCGUAAUCAAUAAGAACAUAUACCAUAUUUAAUGUUCAUCGUCACAUGCAAUUUGUUUUCAAACAAAUUAAUUGUUUACUCGUAUUAACUUUACAUUAGAUGUUUUUAUUAUAUGGUGUUGACUAUAUCAUACAUUAAUGCUCAACAUAAACCGAACGUAUAACAGGAUAUAACAUUAUCGUUAGAGUCCAGACGACUUAAAGUAGAACAAAAGGGUCAAAACUCAAAAGCCGCACGUAGAAGUCUUUGAUCUAUGCGGACGUAAAAAAAUAUUGUGACAUUUUGCAUGGAACCAUCCGCAUACACAAAACCCUGGGCGUUAUGACAGCAUGCCAUAACUGAUUCUUGUAAUUUGUAAAACCCUAUUUCUUAUAGAAAUGUUUAGAUUUAUAUGUUUAGCCAUUUAGGACGUUUAGGUUAUUAUUUAUUUGUUUUAUUUUUAAUAUUUUACCUUUCGCACCCAAAAAAUAUUUUUGUUGUUGUUAAGUUUACAUGGAAAAAUAUAAAAAUUGGAAUAUGCAUUAUAUUUUAUUUUAAUAUAUGUAAACAAAAUGAACGAUUCUUACGAAUAGGAAAGAAAAAUACAUUUUUUGUGGUAAUUUACAUAUGAAAAUUCUGUUGAUUUUGUUACCAUAUGAAAAUUUUGGUAAACGAACUAGUAUGUUUUUCAGUGGGCUGACGCAUUCGUAAUUCAUAUGGUUUGAUAGAUCAUAGAUGUAUGAUAAAAUUUAUGUUAAAUUGACAAGUAGAUAUAUACUUCAAUGCAUAUACUUGAAUUCCGCAUUUAUAAUCGGUUCACAAUUAUUUAAUGGAAACGGGUAGACAAGUACUGACUAUUUAAUUCUUCCACCAGGAAAUAGCAACUAAUUUAUGUCAGAAAAUAAUUAUAUAUAUUAACUGAGAGACUUAGAAUUAUGAUUCCAUCUAACCGUGUAGGUUUAUUAGGUUAUCCAUAAUUCGUUGUAGCUUUCAUACAAUUUUCAUAAAAAGUAUAUUUUAAUUUAUGAAAUAAAGUUUAUAGUACGAAUUAAAUUGAAGAGAAGAGACAUGGAUCUUAAUUCAUUGUAGUUGCAUGCAUGGAGGAUCGGAUGUUGGAAGCUUUAAAAGCUGGUUCUCCCAUCCUUUGAAAGUUUAUUGUACGUUAUUUUACUGUAAUAUUUUCUAUAUUAAUGUAAAAUUUAUAUUUUAUAUAUUUUCACAAUUUGUUUUUAUGCAUGAGUUUAAACUUUAAAGUUUUUAGACCAUUUCCAGUGAAACACUACUUUUUUUUAUAUAUUUCAUUCUAAAAUAGAAUUAUUGUAAUAUAGAAAAAAAAUAGUGUUACAUUGUAGAUAUAGACCGGUUUCUUCGAUUCCAUUUAUAUUUGUGUAUUGAUCUAUUGGUCUAUCACUAGUUGAAGUAUCAUCAAAAUUAUAUAACAGAUGCAAAAAAAAAAUGAAUGACAAUUAUUAUUUUACUUGAGUUUAGUAUUUUUUACCAAUGGUAUUUUGUUAAAUUUUUUAUUUUGCAAUAUAUAUAGAUACUACUGUAUCAAAAAUUCUAUUAAUAAUUAUUCCUUUCAAUUCGUCUAUUCAUUUUUCUAGUUAUACAACAACCUAUAUGGAAUGAAAAGAAUUAAGCAUUCAAAAAGAUUUUAUUCCAAAGAAAAUACAAUCCAGUUGCACCCAUGAUGUCUUCUAUAAACACAUUCAGUGUAAUUUAAUUCACAACGUUAAAGACAAUCAACAUAUGAAACCCUAAAAGAAAAUAUGGCUUAUGCGUUCCGUGAUGAAAGGAGUUUCAAGGCUCCUAAUCAAAUGUUGUAGUAUAAAGGAUGUCAAACCAGUUCUAAGUGAUUCUAAAGCAAAGGGAAUGCAAGACCAUGCUUAAUCUAAGUGCUACCAGUUUUUGAGAUGUUUUUAAACUAGAUUACUACCUAAAAUGCAAUAAAGGACAAAGCUUUCUUUCUUAUAAGAAGGGAGAACUCAUGGGCUAUGGGAAUCGAUCUUGGGUGAUCAAGAUUCAACCUAAAGGUGUCAACUUUGAACCAAUCUAUAUCUACCUUAGACCUAGACACAAUCCUAAACAAACUCUAUCCCUAGAUGAAUGCUCAUUUACCUAGAUAACUCAAGCAUCAAAUCCCUUUGGUUGAAUGUUAUCUAGGUAAUCAUUAAUCACAAGUCUACUAGCCAUCUUAACACCUUUAACAACAAAUCCCUUUGGUAAAGGAUGUUAAAAGCUUAGGAGAGUUGGUUCAGGCAUUUCAUCAAACACCUUCCGGGUAUGAAAUGCCUAGAGCUCAACUUUAGAGAGGCCAACUCUAAAGUUGCAUUAAAAGCCCUCUACUAGCAAGGAAUAAGAUUGAUCUACACCUAAACACCUUAGAUCUAGCUUAAUCACCCUUAAUCUCCCUAACCCAUGAAUCCAAAGAUGACUACUCACUAUUUCCAUGAUGAGCCCAAGAAUCAAAGAUGAUUUGGUGCUAAUCAUGAUUAGUGAUCAAGAUAAUCAAGCAAUCACAAGAGAAAAAUGAUCAAGAUAGGAUCUUUCACCUAAAAGUUCUUUUGUGAUUAGAUAGAAAACAAGAUAAGAUCCUACAAUUAGGUUUAGAGAGUAUUUAUGUGACUUCUAAAACCUAAUGGGCUUAAUUAAUCACUUCAAAAGCCCAAAUAAAACAUAAGUUUUCGACAUAAGAUAAAACGCGGCGCGGGUGCACUAGGUCGCUCCCAUAGGUCGCUCCGAAACACAUGCUUCACCUCUCCAAAACGCGCGCGGGUUGAUGACGUCGCUCCAGAGGUCGCUCUGCAUCCGCCGCGGGUGAGUGACGUCGCUGCCAUAGGUCGCUCCGCAUAAUGAAAGUCGUCGACAAGAAGUUGGGCUUGGAGCGGGUGUAUCACCUCGGUGCAAGACGUCGCGCCAGCCUUCGAUUCUUCUGGAGCGGGUGUAUCACCUCGGUGCAAGACGUCGCGCCAGCCUUCGAUUCUUCUGGAGCGGGUGUAUCACCUCGGUGCAAGACGUCGCGCCAGCCUUCGAUUCUUCUGGAGCGGGUGUCGCACGUCGCUCCCGUACCCCGCUCUGGUGCUUUGCUCGCCUAAACAGCAUUUUCCACUCCCUUUUUGAUCCCAAAUGCUUCCAAGUACCCCUAAUAUCUCCAAUGGAAACUCCAAAACCUGAUAGAGACUUAUGCAGUGCAAAAAGAGACUAAAAUGCAUGAUUCCUAAUCUAGAUGAUCAAAACAUGCAAGAAAUAGAGGGUUAAAACAAUGUAAUUAUGCAAGAUAUCAACUCCCCCAAACUUGUAUCUUACUUGUCCUCAAGUGACUUGUAAGAACUCAUAGGGAGAGAGGUUUGAAAGUGGGAACUCAUAGCCAAAAGUAACACUUCCUAGCACUCAACUUAACAUCCUAAAGAAACAUAACAAAUAGCAUGAGCAUUCUCCUUAUUAUACUCUAGCUUCUCUAGGCCUAUCCAUACUCUUUUUUUCCUCUACUCAAGUUGUAAUACUCUUUACCAACAAGUCCUUUCAAUCAGCUCUCACAUUGAUUCACACACACACACACAAGGUGAAGUCUCACAAAUGGGCACAUGAUCUCAAUCAUUUGGCUAGGCAUGCAAUGGUCUAAUAUGAAUGAAGAGAUGGGUUCAAAUGUUUUUAUUUAAGGGUGGUUAUCACUCAAAACAAGGAGCUUGAUCAUUAUGCAAAAUUUAUCUAAGAUUAGAAGCAACUUAUGCAUACAUAGAUUCCUUCUCAUCAUUCUACCCCAUUUUGUUGUAAAUGAUCACAAGUUCUACCCUCUUUAUCAUCAUCUCAAAAUCAAUCUAAACCCCCUCACAUCACUCACCCAAUGUACAACUCUCUUUUCUUUUCAUUUGACACACUCACUAGGGAUUUUAAUCCACUUUCCACAAGCUCUAACCUUUUUUUCAUUUCUUUCCCCACUUUUUUUUUUUUUUUUUUUUUUUUUUUUUUUUUUUAGGGGAAGGUUCUUUGUUACAUAAUCAAGAGCUUCUCUUUUUUUUUUUUUUAUAUAUAUCCCUAGGAGCUUUAUUUUCAUAUCUCUCAUCUUUCUCACUCUCCAAACCCAAGAUAUUGAAAUUUAAAACACACAAACCCCUCUCACAUCCCCAAAUGCUAACUCAUUGUGCUAGCAAGAGAUGAGAAUAAACCUAUGUCGCCUCCAAUACUCUCAAGAUUUUGCACAUGACAAGCUAUCAAAAGAGGCCUCACUCAUGCAAUUAAAUGUUUGGUCUCAAGGAAUGGUUAGGGUUUUAGGGUAAGGAGUGCCAUUUGGGUUAACAAAGAUAGGUAUGAAGGAAUAAGAUAACCCAAAUGUGUGUGAGAUCCAUGAUCAAGUAUGCGAAUGCCCAUAUGCAAGAGAAAUUAAGUUCAUUCAAGCCAAGUUUAGAUUGGAGCUGAUCUUAAGAACAAUGCUAACAUCAAGCAAGCAAACAAGUUUCAAGAAGAGUUUUCAAGGCUCGAAGCGUGCAAGGUUUUCAAGAGAUGCUUAAGCUACUUGAUAUGUUUAACUAGGGUGUCAUUUUGAGUUCUAGACAAGGGUUCUUUGCAAGGCAUUUUAAAUCAUCGUUCCCAAUGCAAGUGAAUGCAACCUAUAUGCUCUAGACUCAAUCUUAAAAGUGCAAGUGAUGCAACUACAUGUUUCUUUUUUGUGUUUUUCGAUUUUUUUAAUUUUUUUUUUUUUAGCAUAUAUAUAUGUACAAUGCAAUGCAUGAGACUCAAAUCAUCAAAGAAAACAUAUUAAAUACUUGAUGCCUCCCCCAAACUUAGUUCACACAGUCUCUGUGUUAGGAAGUUGGAGGAGAUACCGAAAACAAUUGCGAAGAAAAACUGGUAUAUACAAUGGAAAGUUAGUGGAGUACCUGUCUAAGCGUUCGGGAAGAAACCCGAGUCCCCAUAUCCGGAGUCAUCAGGGAAGGUAGUGUAGUAUUCUUGGGGCGCGCUGGCAACUUCCUCGUUGUCGGUUUCAGCAUCGGUUGAGGCAAGGGAAGGAGACUUAUUCCCGGAGUUGGAUUUAUGAGCUUGGGGGUUUCGUGCCAGGCGCAAGAGCUGUCGGGCAGUAAGGGGAGGUCCAAGGUCCAAGGAAGGGUUGGUGACAGGGUCAUAGGGCUGAGGUUGAGGAACUGAGGUAUCUCUAGUAACAAAGUCUUCAGAUCUACAUCCUCCUACUCCUCCUCUAACCAAAAGAUCAGCCACCUUCUUCAUGAAUUGAGCUGAAGCUUCAGCUUGCUUCUUUACUGUCUUUUUAAGUUCCUUGUACUUGGUCUUUAGUUUGAAGAUUGUCCUGUCCUGAGCCUUGUUCCAUCUUUGAAGCUUGUCAAUAUGCUCAUGAGCUUCACGGAGAGGGCCAUGGGGUAAAGCUGUUGAGCUCUGAGUAAAGUGGUAGCGAGGUGGACCAUAAAGUGGGGUAGCAGAUCCUUCUUGUGUAGCAUCACUUGUUCCAGUCAUUACAUGACCUCUCCCUCCACCUCUCCUUCUCUUAGGAGCAGUCACAUGAUCUAUAGGGCCAUGGGGUCCAAAGAGCUCUGAUUCAUCUAUGUCGAAGUGGAUGAUCCCCGGCCUUUCUAUGUUUGUGAGCUUUCUAUUUGGGAGCAGCAACUUAGCCAUCUUUCCCUUGCGGAAGUAGGUGUAGACAACUUUCUCUUGAUACCUUCCACCAAUGUAAGUAGCAAUCCUCAAAUAAGGGGCAUCAAUGAAUGCUGGUCCUUUGGGAUCAUUCCCCAAGUUCACACCAUUUGCUAUCAGCAGUGGAGUUAUCAUACCACCAAUUCCAAGCUGAGGCGAUGAAUCUGCUGUAGUCCAAACCCAAUCCUUGUAGUACAUGAGACGUUCCACAAAGAGACCAACCAUUCCAAAGCGUUUGAAGAUGUCAGUUGUGGGAAACUUCAUCUUAUCAGUCUCCUCAAACUCCUCAAGCUGUUCUGGUGUAACAUUGUCUAUAACAGCCCGAUAGAGUAGUCGCAGCUCUUCUUCAUUGACUGUCCCUGCCUCCUUGCGAGGGUAGAGAGUGUGGACAAGUAUCCUGUGGAGAUAACGCACUGCGGGAUGUCUGAUGGCUGAGUUCUUGUCAUGACCAGUAGCAUGUUGAUUUCCACUUAUCACUCUCCAAACACCAGUAGGAAGCUUCUUGAACCAUGGAAGGGUUUGAUCUUCAUUAUCCUCAAUCCCCAUCAUUGCUCCAAUUUCCUUGAAACUCAUGAAAUAGCUCUUUCCAUUGACCUUAAAUUUGAUUUUGCCCCAUCCAUGUCUCACAUGGUUACCCUCAUAGAAAGAUGCUUCAAGAGUUGCAAGGAACUGAGAAGAAGGUUCCACGUAAGUAGGAUAGGCCAUGGAGUAGAAGCUCUCCAUUUUCAUGUGCUGCAGCAUUGUCCUUACAUCGUUUUCGAUUCCGAGCUCCUCCAUCGUCUUGGGGUCAGCAAAGCGUGUUGGAACCCAAGAAACACCUUUAGCCAAGUGAUGGUGUAGCUCUUCAACUGUUGGUGACUUACUUCUGUCCCUUUCAAGAGCUAUCCCUUUCCCUUUUGACAUCUUGGCUUUUUUUGGUGGAGCUGGUUCUUCUUCUUCCUCAUCUCUAGAAGAAGAUGCCACAGCCUUUCCUGCUCUUUUCUCCUUUUCCGCUGCCUUCCUUGCAUCUAGAACUCGUUGCCUAGAUGUUCUCUCUACUCCUUGUUGGCUUGGCUCAGCAGGUUCUAGAGGUUUUCCUCUUAGUUCGAAUUCGCGUUUUGCAGCUGCUGCUUUCUUAGCCUCCAUGUUCGUCUUGUUUGUCUUUGCCAUUGUACCUAUAUCAUUCAAAUCUUGGUAGAGUAUUAGCAAGAGGCACAAGAUAUGAGUGACAAUGAUUACUCAGGUCUAAGCAAAGCUAGCACAGUCCAAACCAUCCAAACACUGCAUGCCAAACAAUAUUCAACCCCAAUGUGGACAAUUUCGAAAAUUCCCAAUUUUCAAGAACCCUAACUUUUCAAUUUCGGAUUCAACUCACUUCAACCACGAAAUUAGCAACCCAAUAUGAUAUAUAAGCUUUCCCUAGCCAAAUUCUCAAGAAUCAAGCAAGAAACCAAGCUAAAUUUGAGUUUGAAUUUCUAGGGUUCAUGAACCCACGAAAUUCAUCUUUAAAUCACCAUACCUUGCUUGGAUUAGAAUGUAAAGAUGAAUUGACUCAAGAAAAUAGACUACAAGGGCGAAGGCUUGGAUUUUAAGACAAGAAUGGGUUGAUUUGGGGAAAAUUUGAGUGAGUUAUGGGGUUUUUAGAGUUGGGAGAAUUGAGAGAGUGUGUUUGUGUUUGGGGAGGAAGAGAGGAAAACGAGAGAGAGAGAAAAGGGAGCGGGGUGGGUUAGUUUUAGGUCAGGUCGGGGCGUCGGGUAUGGGUCGGGUUUCGGGUUAAGAAGUCAUACCUGGGUGACGUGGAGCGACGACGGUACCUCGCGGCCGCACCCCGCGCCCAGAACGUAUGUCCGUUCCUCAAAAUGACGCGCGACCUCCUGACCCCGCGGUCACACCCCGCGCCAAACCAUCUUCCGAAACUCAAAAUGCCGCGCGACCUACUGACCCCGCUGCAUCACCCCGCGCCAAACCAUCAUUCGAGACUCGAGUAGGGCGCGACGUCUAGACCCCGCGGCCGAACCCCGCUCCAUCUCAGGCUCGAGCUAUCGAGACACGAAACGACUCUAGACCUCGCGGCAACACCCCGCGAGUCCUCUCUUUUUUUUUUUUUUUUUUUUUUUUUUUUUUUUUUUUUUUUAGGGUCCUAGUGAAGUAUGUACAAGGAUAGACAUGGGACUUCCUCCCAAGUGAGCUUGUUUUAAGUCUCUAGCUUGACUUUCUUUCUUUUUGGCUAGGCGGGGAUGGGGUCAGAGAGUGGAACCGAGGUUCUUUCCUCCUCUGGUGUGGCUCCCAUGUAGAGCUUAACCCUCUGUCCAUUGACUGUAAAGUCUCCACCAUUCUUGUUCCAUAACAUGAUUGCCCCAUAUGGCCGAACUUCCUUGAUCUUGAAAGGACCGGACCACCUUGACUUGAGCUUCCCGGGGAACAACUUCAGUCUAGAGUUGUAGAGAAGCACUUGAUCUCCAGCAUUGAAUUCUCUCUUCAAAAUCUUCUUGUCAUGAAAAGCUUUGGUUUUCUCCUUGUAAAUCCUUGAGUUCUCAAAAGCAUCAAGUCGGAUCUCCUCAAGCUCAUUGAGUUGGAGAAGUCUCUUCUCCUUGGCACUCUUGAUAUCAAAAUUCAGCAACUUAACAGCCCACAAUGCCUUGUACUCAAGCUCAACCGGUAGAUGACAAGCCUUCCCAUACACAAGGUUGAAAGGUGUGGUUCCUAAAGGAGUCUUGUAAGCAGUCCUAUAGGCCCAAAGUGCGUCAUCUAGCUUGAUAGACCAAUCUUUCCUUGUAGUCCCCACAGUCUUCUCUAGAAUAGAUUUGAUUUCUCUGUUAGAGAUCUCAACUUGACCACUUGUCUGAGGAUGGUAGGGAGUUGCAACCUUAUGCUUCACACCAUUCUUCUUGAGAAGACUUUCAAACAGCUUGUUGAUGAAGUGAGAGCCUCCAUCACUGAUGACAGCUCUUGGAACUCCAAACCUUGGAAAUAUGGUGCUUUUGAACAUCUUUAUCACCACUCUAGAAUCAUUGGUGGGACUUGCCACAGCUUCUACCCACUUGGAGACAUAGUCAACAGCUACAAGGAUGUAUUUGUUGCCAAAAGAUGAUGGAAAUGGUCCCAUGAAGUCAAUACCCCACACAUCAAACACCUCCACUUCUAGAAUUGGGUUUUGAGGCAUCUCAUUCCUUUUGGUGAUGUUCCCUCUCCUUUGGCAUGAAUCACACCUAGAGACAAAGUCUUGAGUGUCUUUGAACAUAUGAGGCCACCAAAACCCAGCUUGUAACACCUUUGAGACAGUCUUGAAAGUGGCAAAGUGCCCUCCAUAAGAUGAUCCAUGACAGUGUGUGAGGAUCCCUUCAACUUCUUCAUCAGCUACUGCUCUUCUAUAGAGUUGAUCUCUACAAAGGAUGUAGAGGUAAGGUUCAUCCCAAUAGUAUCUCUUCACAUCUUUGUAGAACUUCUUCUUGGCAUAUCCUUCAAGAUCGAGUGGCUCUCUUCCACAGGCUAAGUAAUUCACCAAAUCAGCAUACCAAGGCCCCUUCUCUUCAGUUGCCUUCACCUCUUCAAGCUUCUUUCCAGUUUCACAAACUGCUACCACUGCUCCAAUUGCCAUGAUUUGCUCUUCUGGAAGCCCUUCAUCAAUAGGGAUCCCACUCUCAAUCUUUAGUCUAGACAAGUGAUCAGCUACACCAUUCUCAACUCCUGGCUUGUCUCUAAUUUCAAGGUCAAACUCUUGUAGCAGCAAGAUCCACCUCAACAGUCUUGGUUUAGCAUCCUUCUUGGCCAUGAGGUGUCUCAAUGCAGCAUGGUCAGUGUAGACUAUGACCUUUGACCCAACUAAGUAGCUUCUGAACUUCUCAAAGGCAUAGACAAUGGCUAGCAACUCCUUCUCAGUUGUAGCAUACUUCAUUUGGGCUUCAUCAAGAGUUUUACUUGCAUAGUAGAUCACAUGAGUCUUCUUGUCCUUCUUUUGACCAAGAACGGCUCCCACAGCAUAAUCACUAGCAUCACACAUGAUCUCAAAGAGGAGAUCCCAAUCUGGUGGCUGCACAAUGGGGGCACUAACCAGCUUCUCCUUCAACAUCUUGAAGGCCUGUAGACAUUCCCAAUCAAAAACGAAUGCAGCCUCCUUGCAUAGAAGCUUAGUCAUUGGCCUUGCUAUCAUCGAGAAGUCUUGGAUGAACCUUCUAUAGAAUCCGGCAUGACCGAGGAAGCUUCUAAUGUCUUUAACCGUUUUUGGUGCAGCUAACCCAACCAUCACUUCAAUCUUGGCCUUGUCUACCUCAAUCCCCCUCUCUGAAAUCUUGUGUCCAAGCACAAUCCCUUCCUUUACCAUGAAGUGACACUUCUCCCAGUUCAGCACAAGGUUGGUCUCUUCACAUCUCUUGAGGACCCUGCUAAGAUUUGACAAACAAGCAGAAAACGAAGAUCCGUAGACAGAGAAAUCAUCCAUAAACACCUCCACAACAUCCUCUAUAAGAUCAGAGAAAAUAGACAUCAUGCAUCUUUGGAAAGUGGCUGGAGCAUUACAUAGCCCAAAUGGCAUCCUUCGAUAAGCAAAGGUACCAUAGGGGCAUGUGAAAGUCGUUUUCUCUUGAUCAUUUGGAUGUAUGGGGAUUUGGAAGAACCCUGAAUAUCCAUCAAGAAAACAAUAAUAGGGAUGAUUUGCAAGUCUCUCAAGCAUUUGAUCAAUGAAUGGCAAUGGAAAAUGAUCCUUUCUAGAUGCUUUGUUAAGUUUUCGAUAAUCUAUGCACAUCCUAUGUCCUGUUAUUGUUCUUGUUGGUAUUAGUUCAUCCUUAUCAUUUUUAACCACAGUCAUUCCUCCUUUCUUUGGAACAACAUGCACAGGAGACACCCAUUUGCUAUCCGAAAUAGGAUAGAUGACUCCUGCAUCUAAGAGUUUUAGAAUCUCUUUCUUUACAACAUCCUUCAAGUUGGGGUUCAACCUUCUUUGAUGUUCUAUAGAAGUCAUAGAUUCAUCCUCUAGAUGUAUCCUAUGCAUGCAUAAAGAAGGUGAUAACCCUUUAAUAUCAUCUAGUGAGUAGCCUAUUGCCUUUCUAUACUUUCUAAGUUCAUUCAAAAGUUUAGACAAUUCAUCUUCACUAAGCUCACUACUCACUAUGACAGGGUAAGUUUCAUUAGGGCCAAGGAAAGCAUACCUUACACCAUGGGGAAGAGGUUUAAGCUCCACUUUUGGUGCUUUGAGUUCACUCCAAUCAUCCUCUUGGAGGUUCUCUUGUUGAGUAGCUGAGAAAGCAUGAUGAUCCUCAUAUGAAAGCUCCUCAUUCUGUUCUUCAUCACUAAUCUCCGUGUGAGAGUCCAGCAUCUUCACAUAAGCAUCACUUUCCUUGUUCUCGACCAUUUGGACCUCUCUCUCAAUUGUUAAGGCAUGUUGUAGAGAGUCUUCAAGUGCCAACUCCUCUAGAAGUUCAUCAGCUAAAACCUCCAUCUCCUCAAUGUAGAAUGCUUGGCUUUGUGUAAUAGGCUUCUUCAUCACCUCCUUGAUGUCAAAGUGAAGAAUGUUUCCCUUUCCAAGGUGAAGAUCAAUCUUCCCUUCCUUAACAUUCACAACUGCUCCUGCUGUAGCCAAGAAAGGUCUCCCCAAUAUCAAAGGAUCUGUUGGUUCUUCAUCCAUCUCCAACACCACAAAGUCUGUAGGAAUCUCACAAUUUCCAACCAUAACAGGGAGAUCUUCUAGGAUACCAAUGGGAAUCUUCACUGAGCGAUCAGCUAGCACAAGAGAGAGUCUACAUUUCUUGUAUUGUGUAAAGCCAAGCCUUUUAGCAAUGGAGAGAGGCAUAAGGCUCACACUUGCUCCCAAAUCGCAUAGACACCUCUCAAAAGCAAAUUGCCCAAUGGCACAAGGUAAAGUGAAGCUUCCUGGAUCUUCAAGCUUCUUAGGGAUGGUUAGCCUUUGGAUAAUAGCGCUACACUCAUGAGUAAGAACCACCAUGCCUUCCAUCUCCUUCUUCUUCUUAGUUACAGCAUCUUUGAGGAACUUGCUGUAUUGAGGCACUAGCAUGAAGGCAUCAAUUAUGGGCAUAGUAAUCUGAACUUCACUCAUUUGCUUCUCAAAUAAGGCUUUGUAUUGCUCCAAAAGCUGUCUCUUGAAUCUACCGGGAAAAGGAAGUUUUGGUUCAUAGGGAGGAGGAUUGAAUAGAGCUCCUUUUGAUGAAGUUGCAGCUUCAUUCUUGUUCUCCCCCUUCUUUUCUUCUCCAAUUUUACCCUUUCCUUUUGCUUCAACUAUUUUCUCCAAGAUCUCCUCAUUGGUUUUCUCAUCCAUAAUAACCACAUCAUCAUCCACAUUGAUGACUACCUCCCCAUCUUGCUUCUCAUUAUCCCUAAUGAGAGUUCUUGGUGGUAGCUGUUUUCCACUCCUAAGGGUGAUGGCUUUCAUUGUUUCCUUGGGAUUUUGCUCUGGCUUUCCAGGUAAUGCCCCUUGUUGGCGACUUGGCUGAGAGUUCAUGGAAGCAAACUGAUUCUCCAAAUGUCGGAUCUUGUUGUUGAGCUCAUUGUAGCUUCCAUCGAUCUUGGAGUGAAUUUUCGUGAACUCAUAACCCAUUGUCUUCUCAUUCUUGGCCUGAAAAUCCAAAAGUUUCUUGAACAUUGCAUCCACACUUGUAUCUGAAGUUGGAGCUUGUGAAGAACUUCCUUGAGCUUGAGUAGACUGAUUGUUGGUAUUAUUGAAACCAGGAGGGGUGUUUUGCCUAGGCUGAUAGUUCCCUUGGUGAGUGUUUUGCCUCUGCUGGUAUCCUCCUUGCUGGUUGUUUGAGUAGGACUUUUGUUGGUAGUUGUUGUACUGAAAGUUAGGCUCCUUCCUGUACCAAGAACCAUUGUUAUUGAUGAAGCACAGCUCUUCUUGUCCUUCCAAACCAUCAACCUCAUUAAUCUUAGGAGGAAUCUCUUGAAUAGGACCACCCACAAAGUUGACCUGCUCUUGUUUAGCUUGGUUAGAAAGAAGCAAGUCCAUCUUCUCCUGCAAGGACUUGAUCUCUUUCUUUGUCUGGUGAUCAUCAUUUCUGUUGACCCUAUCAUGCUCUCGCUAUAGACGGAGUCGCUCUUAGCCAUGUUCUCCACCAGUUCCUCUGCUUCUUCUUCAGUCCUCCCCAAGAAGAAACCAUUGCUUGCAGUAUCAAGCCUGUUUCUGCACUGUGGUAAAGCUCCUCUAUAGAAAGUGCUUAGCAAACUCUCCUUGCUGAAACCAUGAUGGGGACAUUGAGACCAAUAGCCCUUGAACCUCUCCCAUGCUUCACUGAAGCUCUCUAGACCUUUUUGUUGAAACCCGGAGAUUUCGUUUCUGAUCUUAGCUGUCCUUGAAGUAGAGAAGAACUUUUCUAGGAAAGCUCUCUUGCAAUCUUCCCAAGUAGUGACUGUGUCACUUGGAAGAGUCUUCUCCCAUUGGUGUGCUUUGUCUCCCAAAGAGAAAGGAAAUAGCUUCAGCUUGAAAGCAUCUUCUGAAACACCAUUAGUCUUGGACAAGCCACAGUACUGAUCAAACUUGUACAAGUGAUCAAAAGGGUCCUCAGCAGCUAGACCAUGAUACUUGUUGUUCUCUAUAGUGUUGAGCAGCCCUGACUUGAUCUCGAAGUUGUUGUUCUCCACAGCUGGUGCUCUGAUUCCCAACCUAUGACCAUGAAUGUGAGGUUGAUCAUAGGCUCCAAUGGCACGAGCUUGGCGCUGUGGAUGUUGUGGCUGGCGCUGUGGUCUAAAAGGAUCAACUCUUGGACCAUUGCCUCCUUGGACUUCACCAUCUUGAGGCAGAUUCUCCAUAUCAAGCUCCAACCUUUGCAAGUGAGCCUGUUGCUCUACUUCUCUUCUUUGUCUUGCUAUCUCCCUCUCAAGUGCUCUAAUGUCUUCAACUCUUGGAACUAGGUUUGUUGGACCUCUGCUCCUUGUGUUCAUACACCUGAAAUGCAAAGGGAGAAGGACAAAGAGAAGCAAUAACACAAUUAAAUAAAAAUUGACUUAGUCUCAAGCAAAUGACUAAAUCCCAAUGUCACAAUCAACUUAGAAUUUGGCAACGGCGCCAAUUUGAUGAAGGAGUUUCAAGGCUCCUAAUCAAAUGUUGUAGUAUAAAGGAUGUCAAACCAGUUCUAAGUGAUUCUAAAGCAAAGGGAAUGCAAGACCAUGCUUAAUCUAAGUGCUACCAGUUUUUGAGAUGUUUUUAAACUAGAUUACUACCUAAAAUGCAAUAAAGGACAAAGCUUUCUUUCUUAUAAGAAGGGAGAACUCAUGGGCUAUGGGAAUCGAUCUUGGGUGAUCAAGAUUCAACCUAAAGGUGUCAACUUUGAACCAAUCUAUAUCUACCUUAGACCUAGACACAAUCCUAAACAAACUCUAUCCCUAGAUGAAUGCUCAUUUACCUAGAUAACUCAAGCAUCAAAUCCCUUUGGUUGAAUGUUAUCUAGGUAAUCAUUAAUCACAAGUCUACUAGCCAUCUUAACACCUUUAACAACAAAUCCCUUUGGUAAAGGAUGUUAAAAGCUUAGGAGAGUUGGUUCAGGCAUUUCAUCAAACACCUUCCGGGUAUGAAAUGCCUAGAGCUCAACUUUAGAGAGGCCAACUCUAAAGUUGCAUUAAAAGCCCUCUACUAGCAAGGAAUAAGAUUGAUCUACACCUAAACACCUUAGAUCUAGCUUAAUCACCCUUAAUCUCCCUAACCCAUGAAUCCAAAGAUGACUACUCACUACUUUCCAUGAUGAGCCCAAGAAUCAAAGAUGAUUUGGUGCUAAUCAUGAUUAGUGAUCAAGAUAAUCAAGCAAUCACAAGAGAAAAAUGAUCAAGAUAGGAUCUUUCACCUAAAAGUUCUUUUGUGAUUAGAUAGAAAACAAGAUAAGAUCCUACAAUUAGGUUUAGAGAGUAUUUAUGUGACUUCUAAAACCUAAUGGGCUUAAUUAAUCACUUCAAAAGCCCAAAUAAAACAUAAGUUUUCGACAUAAGAUAAAACGCGGCGCGGGUGCACUAGGUCGCUCCCAUAGGUCGCUCCGAAACACAUGCUUCACCUCUCCAAAACGCGCGCGGGUUGAUGACGUCGCUCCAGAGGUCGCUCUGCAUCCGCCGCGGGUGAGUGACGUCGCUGCCAUAGGUCGCUCCGCAUAAUGAAAGUCGUCGACAAGAAGUUGGGCUUGGAGCGGGUGUAUCACCUCGGUGCAAGACGUCGCGCCAGCCUUCGAUUCUUCUGGAGCGGGUGUAUCACCUCGGUGCAAGACGUCGCGCCAGCCUUCGAUUCUUCUGGAGCGGGUGUAUCACCUCGGUGCAAGACGUCGCGCCAGCCUUCGAUUCUUCUGGAGCGGGUGUCGCACGUCGCUCCCGUACCCCGCUCUGGUGCUUUGCUCGCCUAAACAGCAUUUUCCACUCCCUUUUUGAUCCCAAAUGCUUCCAAGUACCCCUAAUAUCUCCAAUGGAAACUCCAAAACCUGAUAGAGACUUAUGCAGUGCAAAAAGAGACUAAAAUGCAUGAUUCCUAAUCUAGAUGAUCAAAACAUGCAAGAAAUAGAGGGUUAAAACAAUGUAAUUAUGCAAGAUAUCAUUCCGGUUCAUAGUUUGACAUGCACGAUCACCGUUACCCUAAAAGGAAAUUAUGGCUUACGGGUUACAUGAUCAUGUAAAAAAAAAACUAAAGAAAAUAUACAUGUAUAUCUCGAUAUUUUUCCUAUGAGUGAGAUUUGAGUUAUAAGUAGAUCGAGCUAUAGACAUCGUGUGCAACUUAUCGUUUAGGUAUAAUUCGACAUUAUUCAUAUUCUGAGUAGCCAUUCGAAAACACCAUUUUAGACAUCCUUCUUUGGGUUUAACAGUUUUUUUUUUCAAUAUCCCGCAGUUAUCAACUUCAUUAGCGGUAAAGUGAUUCACAAAGGUACUUCGGUUGACAAAUGUGACUUAGUUAGGUGCUUUUUGUUUGUUUAUUGAGGGUGUAAUUAGUGCUACGAUCGGGUACUACUAAGAGAGGAAUUUUAGUUACCUUGUAGAAAAUAGUAAGCUAUGUUUAUAUUCUAUGCAAAACAUACACAGAAAUAUCUACACUACGUUUGCAACUUAACACACCAAAAAUGUAUCGUUUCAAAUUAAGAAUAAAAAUAUAGGAGUUGGGAAUUUAUGAGGAAACUUCUGUACUACAAAGAAAGAAAAAAAGAAAUUAUGAGGAAACUAGCCAAAACAGCCGAAAUAUAAACGAGGAAGCCAAGCUCAUGACUUGACAUGUAAUAGGAGGCCGUUGAAAGCUUUAGUUAUUGAAAUUGUUUUUGUUUUCUUUUGGGGUCAACUUGGUGUAUUAGUUCAAAGACUUAACAUGUCUAUAAGUGCAAGCAUGCCGCAUGAGGUAAAGAACAAACUUCAUAAGGUAAAGAAGUGUAUAAAUAUUAAAACAUUAAUUAUGUUAGUUAUAAUUUAUAAAUACACUAUUUAAUCAUAUUAAACAAUUUCCCAUGACACGGAUCGCAUGAUUAUAUAAUCCGGAGACAUCCAAAGACUAAAAAAUAUCCAGUAAAUCCCAUUUCAUAAAUCUGACUUGGGAUAUGAACAUAGGAGGCUAUUUUAAAUUGUUUGUAAUAAAAAUAGAACUAUAAUAAAGUUGUGUGAGGGAGGUUGGUUAGUAAUGUGUAUAUUUUGUGUUAUAUAUCCAAAAAUGGGAGUUGGAGUUAAUGUGAGUAUUAAAGUUGCAUCGGCAUUCAUCAAUUCAUCAACCUCCCCUUCUCCCAUCUUUAAUUGUCUUUAUUGUCUCUCCAUUUAUUGACCUCUCCAUUUUUCCAAACUCUUCUUCCUUCAUAUACACCAUUCUUAUCACCAUGCAUACAUUCAUGAUACAUAUAUACAUCCAUAUGACUUCACCAACAAUCUGGUUCAUCCUUUUUAGAUUUUAACAAUAUAUCAAAGAGCAUGAAGUAAUUAAAGAUGAUUUGUGAUGACAAUAAGAUGAUGAUGGUGGUGGUGGUGGUAGAGGAGAAAGGGAAAACCAGAAAGAGAAAUCGGUUAGCACUUCACAUCUAAGCAUUUAAAUGAGACUGGUUGGAGUUAUUGAAGACACCCAACUUGGAACUCACACAUCAUACUUCACAUUACUUCCCUCUCUUUUUUUUAUUCCUCCAAAAAUCCAAAUUAAGAUGCAGCAGUCGGCAGAUCACGUUUAUUGCCUAGUAAAUCUUUGAAAAUUCUAAAUAUUUAUAUUUUUUUUUUAUUCAAGAGUAUCUAAUUUAUCAACCAUUAAUAAAUUCUUAUAUUGGUAUCUAAUUCAAUUACUCCAUAUGAACCGGUGGAGACAAUAACUCCCCUGAAGAUUUUCCUACAUGUAUAUAAAUAGAGACGACCUUUACAUACUUUUCAAGUCUAUCUGCUCAUUUCCUCACAAGAUCAGAGAGAGAUUAAACUUCCCUUGUAAGCAUAAAUUACUCAGUGGAAAUAAAGACUGAGGCUAAUGGUUUCUCGACAAGAAGGAACCCUUUUCUCCAGAAAGAGGGAUUUUACAACCUAUGGAGAAGAGUUUCACAAUUCAUUCAAGAAGAUCAAACAAGACGAUCAAUCACUGGGAAAACUUCAGAGCACCAUGUUCAGUGAACGAUCAAACUCAGAGAGUAUGAGAUCAGUUACCUUUGAUUUUGAACUUCAACUCCACACUCCUCUAACCACAGAAACUAAGGUAUAUAUUCAUAUAUGUGUUCAGUUUUUUUUUUUUGUUGUAAUUAUCAAUAUAUAUGUUAUAUGCACAUAAACAUGCAUCUAAAACAUGAUUUUUUAUGUUUUCAGGGCUAUUCCAAAACAUCUGAGGAUCAAAGGACAUACCCCAAAGAUUCACUGCUUGUUGAGCGACCAAAGAUGAGCCUAGACCUUGAGCUGAACCUCUCACCUUCUUAUUCACCUACAAAUACCACAACGAAAAUAGAGGAAUCCUCAAAUCACAAUGAAACCGUGUCAUCGUCGAAGGGUAAGAAUUUGACAAGCCCUAGUAAGAAGACCACGACUGGGACAGGACAAAACCGAUCAUUGUCAUGGCUUGCGUUCGAAGGUGGUGAUGAUGAUGUUGAUCACAAGGAGCAAGAGAUGGUAACAAAAGUGUGCAUGAAAUGCCACAUGCUGGUUAUGUUGUGCACAUCAACUCCUGUUU
RNAcentral lists this long non-coding RNA (18146 nucleotides) under Brassica rapa (field mustard). RNAcentral describes it as "long non-coding RNA (BRAP_LNC005574)". The stretch from base 13251 to 13357 matches the Rfam family "Plant small nucleolar RNA R71". Lineage: Eukaryota; Viridiplantae; Streptophyta; Magnoliopsida; Brassicales; Brassicaceae. The record is from RNAcentral.